Long non-coding RNA from Bos indicus x Bos taurus (hybrid cattle), 1862 nucleotides. NCBI's taxonomy places the organism in Eukaryota, Metazoa, Chordata, Mammalia, Artiodactyla, Bovidae. The record is from Ensembl.
CUGCUCUUUUGGGAGGUAUGAGCUGCACACAAUUUUGUUUUUUUUCAUGUCCAGCUGGUAACCCACUUGAUUUCUUACACACAUACACACACUUACACAUAAAGACAUCACCUCUCAAAGAUAUGCAGAGAAUAGCAUAUAAAUAUGCUUUAUGGAAAAUAUUUUCCUAAAAUCCUGCCAAGUAUGUAAGAUCGUCUGCAUCACAAUGAAGUCAGUAUUUCAUAUAAUUGUUUAGAUUCUUAGCAUUGUGCAUUUCCCUCACUCUUACCCCCAUUCUCAAAUUGCACACUGGUGCCAGAAUUAAGAAAUAAUCCUGGGUCAAAUACCGCCUGGUGGUUUCUACUUUAGCUGUGACUAUCCUAAGCUAAGGGUUUCCGUGGUGGCUCAGCGGUAAUCCACCUGCAGUGCCGAAGCCACAGGAGAUGAGAGUUUGAUCCCUGGGUUGGGAAGAUUCCUUGGAAGAGGACAUGGCAACCCAUUCUGGUAUUCUUGCUUGGAGAAUCCCAUGGACAGAGGAGACUGGCCAGAUAAAGCUCAUAGCAUCCCAAAGAGUCAGACAUGACUGAAGCAACUGAGCAUGCAUGCAGGCAUACUAAGCUAAAGAUUUUUGAAUGCCAGGCAAAGGUGAUAAUGAAGUUUGGACCAAUGAAGGGGCAUCAGAGGGAAUUUGGGGAAAGUUUUCUAGAUUUUAAAUACACUCAAACUUCUGGGUUUUGCUGUCUACAUGUGAUUCCUGGAACUGCGGCUGUCAUCCUGCUACCUGCGGACCCCAGCUUUAGUGAUUUGUGAGAGAGUAAUUUUCUGUUAUGAGGGCUUCCCCGGUGGCACAGUGGUAAAGAAUCUGCCUGCCAAUGCAGAAGACACCGAAGAUAUCAGCUCGACCCCUGGGUCAAGAAGAUCCCCUGGAGUAGGAAAAGGCAACCCACUCCAGUAUACUUGCCUGGAAAAUUCCAUAGACAGAGGAGCCUGGCAGGGUAACAGCCCAUGAGGUCACAAAGAAUCGGACAUGACUGAGUGAGCGCAUGCGCACGCGCGCGCACGCACACACACACACACACACACACACACACACACACACUUUUCUGUUAUAUUUUAAGCCAACUAACCUGUGAUGAUUUGUUUCAGUAGUCUUUCUACCCAUUUGCAUGACUCUUUCCAGCUGCUGUGGUGCUGUCACAGAAAUAACGGAUGGUUGAGUUAUUUUUGCAGUGAUUAUGAAGGCAGAGAGAGAAAUGGGAUACUGGGUUUUUCAAAGUAAUGACUGAAUGAUGGUAAGAGUGAAACGUGGAAUAUAAGUUGGUCAUGAGCGAAAAUGAAGAUAAAAUGGAGCUGGUUUUUCAUUUCAUUUUCAUAACAAAAAUAUGAGAGCAUUAAAGAUAAGAGGUUAUAACCUGGUUGAAGAACAUUGUGAGUAUACCUGUUAGCAUUCAAUUUAAUGCUGAGUUUGAUUAAAUCAAAUAGCAAGGUCAGAGUUUCUAUUGCCAAGUUUAAAAGUUAGCACUGAACUGUAGUCAGUAACAAAAUUGGAGGUGUUGCAAAUUGGAGAGUUAACUGAGGAUGUCAUUUCCCAGGACUAUAUCAGAAACUUCACCCUGUACAAUGGAAACUGAAAUAUUAGAAUUGUGAGCAUAGCUACUUAUAAAAUACUGGAUUCAGGCAGGUACUCAUUGAAAAUGUAACUGAAGAAUAAGACACUUUAACAAAUUUUUUUCCUGCCACAGUUUUUCUGCAUGAAGAAAUUACUGUAUAUUUUAAUGUUUCCUGAGUUUUUUUUUUUUUAAUGUGCUUUAAAGUAGAAGUCAGACAGUAUUUGACACUCCCCUGGCAAUUUAGGUAGGAAAAUAAAAUAUUCAAAAUACACA